GAUGAACGCUGGCGGCGUGCCUAAUACAUGCAAGUCGAGCGAACAGACGAGUAGUUUGCUCCUUUCACGUUAGCGGCGGGCGGGAGAGUAACACGUGUAUAACCUCCUUAUCAUACUGGGAUAACUUCGGGAAUCCGGAGCUAAUCCCGGAUGAUAUAUUUAACCGCAUGGUUCUAUAGUGAAAGACGGUUUUGCUGUCACUUAUAGAUGGAUCCGCGCCGCAUUAGCUAGUUGGUAAGCAAACGGCUUACCGAGGCAACGAUGCGUAGCCGACCUGAGAGGGGGAUCGGCGACACGGGAGCGUAGACACGGUCCAGGCUCCUGCGGGAGGGAGCAGUCGGGAAUCGUCCGCAACGGGCGAGAGCAUGGCGGAGCAGCGCCGAGUGAGAUAUGACGGUGUUCGGUUCGUAAAACUCUGCUAUUAGGGAAGAACAAAUGUGUAAGUAAAUAUGCACGUCGUGACGGUACCUAGUCAGGAAGCCACGGCUAACUACGUG
RNAcentral lists this ribosomal RNA (497 nucleotides) under uncultured bacterium. RNAcentral's name for it is "partial 16S ribosomal RNA". It matches the Rfam family "Bacterial small subunit ribosomal RNA", at positions 28 to 507 of the family's 1533-position model. The record is from RNAcentral.